This 655-nucleotide long non-coding RNA is filed under the name Penaeus japonicus. Its description in RNAcentral is "uncharacterized LOC122261162". The record is from RNAcentral. Lineage: Eukaryota; Metazoa; Arthropoda; Malacostraca; Decapoda; Penaeidae.
GACAGCUCUGAGAAGAGGCGCCCAUCCUGCGGGACGAGCGCAUCCAGGAGGACGACGGAAGGUACAACUUCGACGUCGAGACCGGAAACGGCAUCGCCAUCUCGCAGUCCGGAUCGCCCGUGUCCGAGGGCGCCAUCGCCAGCGCCGGACAGUUCUCCUACACCGCUCCUGACGGCACCCCCGUCAGCCUCAAGUUCGUGGCUGACGAGAACGGCUUCCAGCCCCAGUCCGACCUCCUGCCCGUGGCUCCCGAGUUCCCCCACCCAAUCCCCGACUUCGUCCUGAGACAGAUCGAGUUCGCCCAGCAGCAGGAGGCCGCCCGCGCCCGCGAGGGAGGAAGGUCUUACGCAUAAGGUCACACAUUUUACGAACAGGGUCACUGUCGCGUCCUCGGUGACGUGAGCCUUUCUCUCUCUCUCUCUCUCUCUCUCUCUCUCUCUCUCUCUCUCUCUCUCUCUCUCUCUCUCUCUCUCUCUCUCUCUCUCUCUCUCUCUCUCUCUCUCUCUCCCUUUCUCUCUUUUUUUUCUCUCUCUCUUUCUCACCAACGAAAAGUUCAUCCUAUUCGGAUACUUUCUCUUAUAUUUAUGUAUUUAUAUUUAUGGAAAAGAAAGUCCUUCGCCUGUAUCCGACGAUUCGAAUAAAAUAAGGAAUCAAA